Molecule: non-coding RNA, 763 nt
Filed under: Ptiliidae sp. BMNH 1274726
Lineage: Eukaryota; Metazoa; Arthropoda; Insecta; Coleoptera; Ptiliidae
Source: RNAcentral
UUAAAAUUUAAUUUUAGUUAAGAAUAUCGGUGUUUAGUUUUAAUUAUAUAUAAAUAUUAGUUUUAAUAAUUUUUAAUAAAUUUAAUGUACGGGGGUAAUUAUUAAAUUUAUUUAUUUAAGAAAUUUUGAAUUAGAAAACUAAUUAAAUAUUAAUUAAAUUUGUGCCAGCAAUUGCGGUUAUACAAAUAAUAUGUCUGAUAUAUUUUAUUUUAUAAUAAAUAGUUCUUUUUAAAUCUAAUGGUUAAAUUUUUAAGUGAAAUUUAAAUUUAAUUUAAAUUUUUUUAAGUGAUAUGGUUUAUGAAAGUUAUAUAAAAAACUAGGAUUAGAUACCCUAUUAUUAAAACUGUAAAAUUAUUAAUAUAGGAGUAUUUGUUAUGUUCUUGAAAUUAAAAAAAUUUGACGGUAUUUUAGUCUUUUUAGGGGAACCUGUUUCUUAAUCGAUAUUCCACGAUUUGUAAUACUUAAAUUUAUAAUUUAUAUAUCGUCGUAGUUAAAUAUUCUAUAAGGGGUUAUUUAAAAUUUUUAUAAAAAUUUAAUUCAGAUCAAGGUGUAGUAAUAUUUAAGUGGAAAAUGGGUUACAAUAAAUUUAUUUAAAUGGAUAAUAAUUUUAAAAAUUAAUUUGAAGGUGGACUUGAAAGUAAUUAAAUUUAAAUAAAUUUAAUGAUUUAAGCUCUGAAAUAUGUACAUAUUGCCCGUCGCUCUUGUUAUAAAAUUAGAUAAGUCGUAACAAAGUAGGUUUACUGGAAAGUGUAUCUAGAAAUAC